This 478-nucleotide ribosomal RNA is filed under the name uncultured bacterium. Its description in RNAcentral is "bacterial SSU rRNA". It matches the Rfam family "Bacterial small subunit ribosomal RNA", at positions 364 to 832 of the family's 1533-position model. The record is from RNAcentral.
UUUCGCAAUGCCCGAAAGGGUGGCGAAGCGACGCCGCGUGGGUGAAGAAGGCCUUCGGGUUGUAAAGCCCUGUCAGGAGUUAUGAAAUGUAAGUGUGCUAAUAUCACAUUUAUUUGACAAAGGCUCCAAAGGAAGCCACGGCUAACUCUGUGCCAGCAGCCGCGGUAAUACAGAGGUGGCAAGCGUUGUUCGGAAUUAUUGGGCGUAAAGAGCACGUAGGUGGAUUUGUAAGUCAGAUGUGAAAGCCUUCUGUUCAACGGAAGAAUUGCAUCUGAAACCGCGAAUCUUGAGUGUAGGAGGGGAGAAUGGAACUUCUGGUGGAGCGGUGAAAUGCGUAGAUAUCAGAAGGAACGCCGGCGGCGAAAGCGAUUCUCUGGCCUAUUACUGACACUCAGUGUGCGAAAGCUAGGGGAGCAAACGGGAUUAGAUACCCCGGUAGUCCUAGCCGUAAACGAUGGGCACUAAGUAGAGGGGUUUU